AUCCGGUUACCUUUCAAAAUAAAACACUCGGUGUUGACACCAGUACAUAAAUCUCAAAAAAAGAGACAAACACAAGCUUUUCUGCUAAUCCCUCGGUCGGGAACACUUCGUGUUAUUGUUCUUAAUAACACAGACCUGUAACUGCGGUCGUGAGUGAUCAUGUGAUUAUCGCGGGAACUCCUCUGCCUCGUGAGCCAGCUGUCUACCGUACUGCGCCGCAGCGGACUCAAACUGCAACCGGUGGAGAUUGCCGGACGCGGGCGGCGGAGCAAAACCGGAUCGGAGCUGCAACGCAGCGGACACGUAUCCAGUGGAAAUUGGGGAUUGCUGUACUUGCUGUGCAGUCUUGUGUUUUGUGUUCUCCCUGCCUGACUGUGGACCUGCCUGCCUGUUGCCAGCUUUCCUGUUUUACCGCUCUGUGUGAGUACACUGGAGAGGCGAACUUCCCUGCACCGUGCCGCAGCACCAGCAUCACCCUAGAGCAAACGCCGCAUCACGACACCUUCACCCUCGCAUUCACUUGUGUCUUCACAAGCCAGGUUUUGGAUCCCGGGACAACGCACCUCCUCUCUCCCCUGCACUUGUUACACGUUUGAACAUUAAAACAAACUUGUUAUUUAUUGUGAAUCUGUUGUCUGGGUCGUGCAUUUGGGUCCUAAUAGUCUACAAAUCAUAACAAAAGGACCACAUCACAUAAAGGCAAGUCUAUAAAAGUGGGUUUUAAGAAGUGAUAUAAAAUAAUUUAUCGAUCCUGCAAGCCUUAUCUCCUCAGACAGGGCGCUCCAAAGUCGAGGGGCCCUUAUGGCUAACGCACGGUUCCACUUUAGUUUUUACUCUUGACUUUGGAACUGUUAGGAAGGCCCCGCCUGAGGAUCUAAGGCGGCGAGCUCACUCAUAGGGAAUUAAAAUAUCUGUAAUGCUUUAAAAGUGAUCAGUAAAAUCUUAAAAUCAAUUCUAAAACAGACAGGGAGCCAGAGAGGGCAGCUAAUAUUGGAGUGAUGUGUUGACGUCUGUUAGAACCUGUUAGAAGCCGAGCUGCUGAAUUCUGUACCAGUUGGAGGCAAGAAAGAGAGAUUUGAUUGAUGCCGGAGAGAAGGGAGUUGCAGUAGUCUAGUCUAGAAAAGAUGAAUGCGUGAAUGACUUUAAGAUCAGGGGGUGUGAGCAUAUGUUUUAUUCUAGAAACGGGCAAGUUGAUAGAAGCAGGCCUGGACCAGUUUAUUAACAUGAGGGAUGAAAGUCAGCUCUGUGUCAAAGAGUACACCUAGGUUUCUUGCAGUGGGUUUUAUGUUGACGGAGAGGGGACCAAGGGCUUGCUGGUAAUGACUAAUAUUGUUAGGGGGGGUGAACAAUAUGAUUUCUGUUUUGGUGUUGUUAAGCUGUAAGACUUUUAUUCUGAAAAUCAUUGGGCGUUCAAAGCAGAGAGACAAAUGAAUAGGCUAUCAAAACCUAACCUGACUGCAGACUCAGAAAGGCAAAACAAAACAACCAAAUAAAUCAAAAUCACUCCAAAAGGCGGAGGCAAGGCAGAUACACAACAAUCCACGAGGGAAGGAAAAAUCCAAUAAAUCAAAAUCGCUCCACAAGGGAGGAAAACUAAGAAUAGAUAAACAAAACACUGAUCUAAGAAAACUAAAGCGCUCCAAAAGAGGAGGAAAACAGAGGCUAAACUAUCUACUCUGAGUAUAUCAAGAAAAUAAGGCGCUCCAAAAUGGAGGAAAACAAAAGGCUGACUAUGAAAACCAAAACAAAAGACACUAUCAAAAAUUACAAACAAAAUUCACUCUUCUCGAGGCACAAGGAAAAACAGAACAAAAAUCAACAUGAACUUUGAAUACUAACUAGGCAAGACUGUGACAAAGGGCUGGGGUGCACGCAGGAACGAGACACACUGGCACAAGACAAACGAGGACACAGACUAUUUAACACAUGAGGGAGAGGGGAACAGGUGGAAACAAUCAGGAAUCAGGGAUGACGUCAGACCGGGCACACAUGAGGAAGAGCAAGUGACCUGAAAUGAUAGGGAGGUUAGAUUUUCAAAAUAAAACAGGAAGUUCACAAGACAAAAAACCAAGACAAGACAAGACCUAAUCGCUGUGUGACAGAACCCCCCCUUCUAGGACCAACUCCUGAUGGUCCAGGUUGACCAGGAUGGUCCCUAUUAAAAUCCC
This 2168-nucleotide long non-coding RNA is filed under the name Sparus aurata (gilthead seabream). RNAcentral describes it as "lncRNA (ENSSAUG00010023461.1)". The record is from RNAcentral. Lineage: Eukaryota; Metazoa; Chordata; Actinopteri; Spariformes; Sparidae.